This 424-nucleotide ribosomal RNA is filed under the name uncultured archaeon. RNAcentral's name for it is "partial 16S ribosomal RNA". It matches the Rfam family "Archaeal small subunit ribosomal RNA", at positions 323 to 746 of the family's 1478-position model. The record is from RNAcentral.
CUACGGGAUGCACCAGUCGGGAAACUUCUACAAUGCACGCAAGUGUGAUAGAGCAAGCCAGAGUGAUUCUCUAUAAUUGAGAAUCUUUUCUGAUAUGUAAAAAGUAUCAGGAAUAAGGACUGGGAAAGACUGGUGCCAGCCGCCGCGGUAAUACCAGCAGUCCAAGUGGCAGCCACUUUUAUUGGGUCUAAAACAUCCGUAGCUUGUUUUGUAAGUCUCUUGUGAAAUAUGAUGUCUUAAGCAUCGUGCGUGCAAGAGAUACUGCUCUACUAGAGACCGGGAGACGUAAGGAGUACGCACAGGGUAGCGGUAAAAUGCGUUGAUCCUAUGUGGACUAACGAUAGCGAAGGCACCUUACGAGGACGGAUCUGACAGUCAGGGAUGAAGGCUAGGGUCGCAAAACGGAUUAGAUACCCCUGUAGUC